UUUUCCUGAGGGGACCGAUUGGCGCGAACUCGGAGUAUUGUGCGGGGUUUUGGUAGUGAUAGCACUUCUAGCCUUGGUUUACCCCAUACCGCCCAAUACAUGAUGUCUCCCUGAAGUAUAUAGGUGGCACUUUCUGACUGGGAAAGAAAGCUGCCCCCAGUCCCUACCCCCUACCCCUGAUCUGGAAGCCUCCACUGGCACAGCACAUGGAUCCUGGACUGCUACAUGGAGACUGAGAUCAGCACAUCUCAGAUUCUAAAAGAGAGAGCUGCUGCAAGAGGAUGGCAACUGUGAAACCUGACAGACCUAGGUAGGCCUAGGACAAAUGGAAUCACCAAGCGGGAAACUGCCUGCCAACCCCCCAGGACAAACAGAUGCUCGGCUAAGAUUGGGGUCCGGGGUUGGCCUGUCGGCACAACAGGAUGCAGCUUUAACUUGAGCCUGACAAGAUGUAUCAAGAACAAUGGUCAGCAAAAAUGGAACCCAGCAACCAGCUCUAGCCAAUCAGACUCUGACACCCCAACCAGUUGCCCUUCAUGGGUUUUUGUGCUUAAAAACCCUACCCUAAAAACAACUGAGUGAGUCUUAACCUCCCUAGGUUGGCUGCACUUUCUCCACUUUCCCUCACGUCCCAGCCUCCCUAGGUUGGCUCCACUGUCCCUCUUAUUCCCCGCUAAUAAGCCCUGCUCCUUAGCUCACUGAGUCCACCUGGUUUCUUGAGCAACUCCAACCUCACAAAACCUGCAAGUGCACAUGCCAGAGAGAUUGGAGAUCUGUUUGUGUGACCACCUUAAGAGCAGUUUUCAGCUGUGGUGCACUGAACCUGAUUCUUCAAGAUCUGCUAGACCAAUGAUAAGGUCAAGUUUUCAUGUGUCUAAGAAGAAAAAUGUUAUUCAGCUGGGGUCAGCAAGUACCUAACUUUUUCUAGAUAGUAAAAACUCAACUGUAACAUAAAUGUUUAAAACCACUGUUUAGUUCAGCUUUGAUGGGGACAGAACAAAUCAUUCUCCACCAGGGUGUUUGAAAUCACAUGACAAGGGAUAAAAGCAAAUCAGCAUAAUUGAAAGAUUUUUUUUGCCCCACAUUUAACCAAAGAACAAGGGAAAAACAGAGUAUUUCUAAUGUGUUUAGUAAACCACAGAAUGUUAUGUUAUCCACCUGUGAAAUGUCUGGUAAACAAUUGCAUCUAUAUUUUAUUAUGUUGACCUGGUACUAAUAAAUAUGUGAAUGCAUAUUCAGGUCUCCUUGUACUUCAGUAAUUUUCAUCAUUUUCAAACUCCAAAACUGCCUUCCCAUCAGAGGGCUGUUUCUUGUAUUAAAAACAAGAACAACAAUUACAAUUAAAUCAAGAAAUGGAGAA
Long non-coding RNA from Phyllostomus hastatus (greater spear-nosed bat), 1360 nucleotides. RefSeq lists it as uncharacterized. The transcript has 3 exons. The record is from RefSeq and is a predicted model, not a curated record. NCBI's taxonomy places the organism in Eukaryota, Metazoa, Chordata, Mammalia, Chiroptera, Phyllostomidae.